Long non-coding RNA from Austrofundulus limnaeus, 674 nucleotides. RefSeq lists it as uncharacterized. The transcript is spliced from 3 exons. The record is from RefSeq and is a predicted model, not a curated record. Lineage: Eukaryota; Metazoa; Chordata; Actinopteri; Cyprinodontiformes; Rivulidae.
AGAUGUUAAAUGUCAGGUAGCUCUGCACACAGGGAAACAGAAUUACAAAAACAUAGAAAAUAAGAAUUAACUGAGCAGCAGGGAUCUUUACCAGAAGCCAUAUGGUGCUCCAGAAUCGACCAGACUGUCAGAAGAACCUUAUAAAGCCCUGGUGCUCAUCAGCAGGAUCUGCUGCAGCUGCUGCCAAUCUCUGCCCAGGAAACAAAUUAAGGAGUUGCAAGACCUAAAAGAAAAUAAUGAAAAAAAAAAAAAACACGGAGAAAAGUUUCAAACUUUUUACUCCCAGCUCUGAACAGCUUCAGUGGACAGAUCCUCCCAACUCUGCAGAAGAGUUCUCCGGCUCCUUUGGCCUCCUGGAUGUUUCUCUGGUCUACCUCACCUUCUCAGUGAGUUUUGGUGGACAACCCUCUCAUGUUAACUAAGAGAAAGAUCCUUGGGCUUCUACUGAGAGGUGUUAAACUGGUGUUGAUAGCUAUCAGAACAGAUACACUGAAGUACUUGCUGACCCACGGAGCUAAACUUUGUGGCUGCAGAAGAUAAACGUGGCUUUAAAUCAAAGAAGAACGGAGUAAUACAUAAGCAUAAAACACUUUUAAGUGUAUGUAUUUAUUUAAUUGUUUGUUUGUUUGUUUUUUAUUAAAGGAAAACAUGAUUUCCCUUUUUAACCUUAUGGU